This 373-nucleotide ribosomal RNA is filed under the name uncultured organism. Its description in RNAcentral is "partial 16S ribosomal RNA". It matches the Rfam family "Bacterial small subunit ribosomal RNA", at positions 527 to 896 of the family's 1533-position model. The record is from RNAcentral.
GUAGGUGGCAAGCGUUGUCCGGAAUUAUUGGGCGUAAAGCGCGCGCAGGUGGUUCUUUAAGUCUGAUGUGAAAGCCCCCGGCUCAACCGGGGAGGGUCAUUGGAAACUGGGGAACUUGAGUGCAGGAGAGGAAAGUGGAAUUCCACGUGUAGCGGUGAAAUGCGUAGAUAUGUGGAGGAACACCAGUGGCGAAGGCGACUUUCUGGCCUGUAACUGACACUGAGGCGCGAAAGCGUGGGGAGCAAACAGGGAUUAGAUACCCUGGUAGUCCACGCCGUAAACGAUGAGUGCUAAGUGUUGGGGGGGUUUCCCGCCCCGUCAGUGCUGCAGCUAACGCAUUAAGCACUCCGCCUGCGGAUACGGCGCAAGACUG